GUGCCAGCCGCCGCGGUAAUACGGAAGAUGCGAGCGUUAUCCGGAUUUAUUGGGUUUAAAGGGAGCGUAGCGGGUCUUUAAGUCAGCGGUUAAAUGUCAGUGCCCAACGUUGGCAUGCCGUUGAUACUGGAGGUCUUGAAUACACACAAGGGCGGUGGAAUUCGUUGUGUAGCGGUGAAAUGCUUAGAUAUGACGAAGAACUCCGAUUGCGAAGGCAGCCGCCUGGGGUGCGAUUGACGCUGAGGCUCGAAAGUGCGGGAAUCAAACAGGAUUAGAUACCCUGGUAGUCCGCACCGUAAACGAUGAAUGCUCGUUCUGGGCGACAGACAGUCCGGGACCGAGGGAAACCAUUAAGCAUUCCACCUGGGGAGUACGCCGGCAACGGUGAAACUCAAAGGAAUUGACGGGAGCCCGCACAAGCGGAGGAACAUGUGGUUUAAUUCGAUGAUACGCGAGGAACCUUACCCGGGCUUGAAAUGUACCUGACGCGGGGCAGAGACGUCCCGUUCCUUCGGGCAGGUAUGUAGGUGCUGCAUGGUUGUCGUCAGCUCGUGCCGUGAGGUGUCGGCUUAAGUGCCAUAACGAGCGCAACCCUUGCCGCCGGUUGCCAUCACGUGAUGGUGGGCACUCCGGCGGGACUGCCAUCGCAAGAUGUGAGGAAGGUGGGGAUGACGUCAAAUCAGCACGGCCCUUACGUCCGGGGCUACACACGUGUUACAAUGGGGGGCACAGCGCGCCGCUACCCGGUGACGGGAUGCGAAUCGUGAAAUCCCCUCUCAGUUCGGACCGGAGUCUGUAACCCGACUCCGCGAAGCUGGAUUCGCUAGUAAUCGCGCAUCAGCCAUGGCGCGGUGAAUACGUUCCCGGGCCUUGUACACACCGCCCGU
RNAcentral lists this ribosomal RNA (887 nucleotides) under uncultured bacterium. RNAcentral's name for it is "bacterial SSU rRNA". It matches the Rfam family "Bacterial small subunit ribosomal RNA", at positions 505 to 1397 of the family's 1533-position model. The record is from RNAcentral.